This 159-nucleotide non-coding RNA is filed under the name bovine gut metagenome. Its description in RNAcentral is "Lysine riboswitch". It matches the Rfam family "Lysine riboswitch aptamer". Rfam says of the family: Riboswitches are metabolite binding domains within certain messenger RNAs that serve as precision sensors for their corresponding targets. Allosteric rearrangement of mRNA structure is mediated by ligand binding, and this results in modulation of gene expression. The record is from RNAcentral.
GAUAGAGGCGCGAGGUUCAUCAGUACGCCCCCGCAAGAAAGCAGCUUUCGCGGGUGCGGAAAGGGGACAUCGCCGAAGUGGAGGGGCGCAGCUGCGCGUUUCUCUGCUGGGCCGUCGGAGAAGAUCCGCCGGACUGUCACGCGAGUGGAGCGCUAUCGA